Molecule: small nuclear RNA, 106 nt
Organism: Molossus molossus (Pallas's mastiff bat)
Lineage: Eukaryota; Metazoa; Chordata; Mammalia; Chiroptera; Molossidae
Source: RefSeq, a predicted model, not a curated record
GUGCUGCUUUGGCCGCACGUGUGCUAAACCUGGGACGAUACAGAGCAGGGUAGCAUGGCCCUUGUGCGAGGAUGGCAUGCACAUUCGUGAUGCGUUCCGUGUUAAA